RNAcentral lists this ribosomal RNA (402 nucleotides) under uncultured bacterium. RNAcentral describes it as "bacterial SSU rRNA". It matches the Rfam family "Bacterial small subunit ribosomal RNA", at positions 355 to 774 of the family's 1533-position model. The record is from RNAcentral.
UGGGGAAUCUUGCACAAUGGGGGAAACCCUGAUGCAGCGACGCCGCGUGAACGAUGAAGCCCUUCGGGGUGUAAAGUUCUUUCGACAGGAACGAUAAUGACGGUACCUGGAGAAGAAGCUGCGGCUAACUACGUGCCAGCAGCCGCGGUAAUACGUAGGCAGCGAGCGUUGUUCGGAGUUACUGGGCGUAAAGAGUGCGUAGGCGGCGAGCCAAGUUUGGUGUGAAAUCUCCCGGCUUAGCCGGGAGGGUGCGCCGAAAACUGGUUGGCUGGAUUAUGGGAGAGGAAAGCGGAAUUCCUGGUGUAGCGGUGAAAUGCGUAGAUAUCAGGAGGAACACCUGCGGUGUAGACAGCUUUCUGGACCAAAACUGACGCUGAGGCACGAAAGCGUGGGUAGCAAACA